Molecule: ribosomal RNA, 423 nt
Filed under: uncultured Glomeromycotina
Lineage: Eukaryota; Fungi; Glomeromycota
Description: SSU rRNA
Rfam family: Eukaryotic small subunit ribosomal RNA
Source: RNAcentral
UGGUAUGCACUGGCUUUGCUGGUUCCUCCUUUCUGAAGAACUGUAAUGCCAUUAAUUUGGUGUUGCAGGGAAACAGGACUGUUACUUUGAAAAAAUUAGAGUGUUUAAAGCAGGCUAACGCUUGAAUACAUUAGCAUGGAAUAAUGAAAUAGGACGUUUGAUUCUAUUUUGUUGGUUUCUAGGAUCGACGUAAUGAUUAAUAGGGAUAGUUGGGGGCAUUAGUAUUCAAUUGUCAGAGGUGAAAUUCUUGGAUUUAUUGAAGACUAACUACUGCGAAAGCAUUUGCCAAGGAUGUUUUCAUUAAUCAAGAACGAAAGUUAGGGGAUCGAAGACGAUCAGAUACCGUCGUAGUCUUAACCAUAAACUAUGCCGACUAGGGAUCGGAUGAUGUUAAUUUUUUAAUGACUCAUUCGGCGCCUUACG